GCUUACGACCACACCGGCCUGAGUACGCCUGAUCUCGUCUGAUCUCGGAAGCUAAGCAGGGUCGGGCCUGGUUAGUACUUGGAUGGGAGACCGCCUAGGAAUACCAGUUGCUGUAAGCU
This 119-nucleotide ribosomal RNA is filed under the name Oncorhynchus kisutch (coho salmon). Lineage: Eukaryota; Metazoa; Chordata; Actinopteri; Salmoniformes; Salmonidae. The record is from RNAcentral.